UACAGAGGGUGCGAGCGUUGUCCGGAAUCACUGGGCGUAAAGGGCGCGUAGGUGGUGGCUUAAGCGUGCGGUGAAAGCUCGGGGCUCAACUCCGAGUCGGCCGUGCGAACUGGGCUCACUGGAGCAUAGUAGAGGCAGGUGGAAUUCCGGGUGUAGCGGUGGAAUGCGUAGAGAUCCGGAAGAACACCGGUGGCGAAGGCGGCCUGC
This 207-nucleotide ribosomal RNA is filed under the name uncultured bacterium. RNAcentral describes it as "partial 16S ribosomal RNA". It matches the Rfam family "Bacterial small subunit ribosomal RNA", at positions 524 to 729 of the family's 1533-position model. The record is from RNAcentral.